RNAcentral lists this transfer RNA (85 nucleotides) under Ardenticatenia bacterium. RNAcentral describes it as "tRNA-Leu". It matches the Rfam family "tRNA". From Rfam's summary of the family: Transfer RNA (tRNA) molecules are approximately 80 nucleotides in length. Their secondary structure includes four short double-helical elements and three loops (D, anti-codon, and T loops). The record is from RNAcentral. Lineage: Bacteria; Bacillati; Chloroflexota; Ardenticatenia.
GGGCCGGUGGCGGAACCGGUAGACGCAGGGGACUUAAAAUCCCCUGGGCAUCGCGCCCGUGUGGGUUCGAGUCCCACCCGGCCCA